This 252-nucleotide unclassified non-coding RNA is filed under the name Brachylaima fuscata. RNAcentral describes it as "partial contains 28S ribosomal RNA". It matches the Rfam family "Eukaryotic large subunit ribosomal RNA", at positions 1 to 235 of the family's 3401-position model. The record is from RNAcentral. Lineage: Eukaryota; Metazoa; Platyhelminthes; Trematoda; Diplostomida; Brachylaimidae.
ACCUCGGAUCAGACGUGAUUACCCGCUGAACUUAAGCAUAUCACUAAGCGGAGGAAAAGAAACUAACCAGGAUUCCCUUAGUAACGGCGAGUGAACAGGGACUAGCCCAGCACCGAAGCCUGUGACCAUUUGGUUACUAGGCAAUGUGGUGUUUAGGUCAUCUCUUGGCGCUAUUGCUCCACCCUAAGUCCAGCAAUGAGUACGGCUUACUGGUAUGGCCCAUAGAGGGUGAAAGGCCCGUGUGGGUGGAGA